GUGUCAGCCGCCGCGGUAAUACGUAGGUGGCGAGCGUUGUCCGGAUUUACUGGGCGUAAAGGAUGCGUAGGCGGAUAUUUAAGUGGGAUGUGAAAUCCCCGAGCUUAACUCGGGGGCUGCAUUCCAAACUGGAUAUCUAGAGUGUCGGAGGGGAAAGUGGAAUUCCUAGUGUAGCGGUGAAAUGCGUAGAGAUUAGGAAGAACACCAGUGGCGAAGGCGACUUUCUGGACGAUAACUGACGCUGAGGCAUGAAAGCGUGGGGAGCAAACAGGAUUAGAUACCCCGGUAGUCC
This 292-nucleotide ribosomal RNA is filed under the name uncultured bacterium. Its description in RNAcentral is "partial 16S ribosomal RNA". It matches the Rfam family "Bacterial small subunit ribosomal RNA", at positions 505 to 796 of the family's 1533-position model. The record is from RNAcentral.